AGAUUCAAAUUCGAAUUGUGUACUAAAUAAGAAGGGGCAGCCAUUUUGUUAGGGUUUAGAACACACUGUGAUAGGGAAUUCUGAGCGAGACGAACGCAAAGAUAUUGAGUGAUAAUCAAAGUGAAAUUAUAUUGAUUUAGAAUUCGGAAUAUCGAAACUGAAGAUAUUCCGGCAAGAAUUUGAGACGCCACGUGCGAGAAAAAUUGACUAAAAAAGUUAUAUCUGACCUCAAGGACAAGCUGAAGAAUAGAGUAAAACGCGAUUGAAAGAGGGCUUUGCUCAGGUAAAAUUUGAGGUUAUAUUUUGAGUGAAAGCUUCAUGGCUGAUCCCUUUCUUACAGAUAAUCUUUAAUCCGUUGUACCUUUGAACCGUUGUACUUUUGAACCGUGGAAACUUUGUUACAUGAAUAAAUGAAUUUGGAAGAAAG
Phlebotomus papatasi is the source of this 427-nucleotide long non-coding RNA. RefSeq lists it as uncharacterized. The record is from RefSeq and is a predicted model, not a curated record. Lineage: Eukaryota; Metazoa; Arthropoda; Insecta; Diptera; Psychodidae. The transcript is spliced from 3 exons.